This 1460-nucleotide ribosomal RNA is filed under the name Lactiplantibacillus plantarum. Its description in RNAcentral is "bacterial SSU rRNA". It matches the Rfam family "Bacterial small subunit ribosomal RNA". The record is from RNAcentral. Lineage: Bacteria; Bacillati; Bacillota; Bacilli; Lactobacillales; Lactobacillaceae.
GGGGGCGCUGCCUAAUACAUGCAGGUCGAACGAACUCUGGUAUUGAUUGGUGCUUGCAUCAUGAUUUACAUUUGAGUGAGUGGCGAACUGGUGAGUAACACGUGGGAAACCUGCCCAGAAGCGGGGGAUAACACCUGGAAACAGAUGCUAAUACCGCAUAACAACUUGGACCGCAUGGUCCGAGUUUGAAAGAUGGCUUCGGCUAUCACUUUUGGAUGGUCCCGCGGCGUAUUAGCUAGAUGGUGGGGUAACGGCUCACCAUGGCAAUGAUACGUAGCCGACCUGAGAGGGUAAUCGGCCACAUUGGGACUGAGACACGGCCCAAACUCCUACGGGAGGCAGCAGUAGGGAAUCUUCCACAAUGGACGAAAGUCUGAUGGAGCAACGCCGCGUGAGUGAAGAAGGGUUUCGGCUCGUAAAACUCUGUUGUUAAAGAAGAACAUAUCUGAGAGUAACUGUUCAGGUAUUGACGGUAUUUAACCAGAAAGCCACGGCUAACUACGUGCCAGCAGCCGCGGUAAUACGUAGGUGGCAAGCGUUGUCCGGAUUUAUUGGGCGUAAAGCGAGCGCAGGCGGUUUUUUAAGUCUGAUGUGAAAGCCUUCGGCUCAACCGAAGAAGUGCAUCGGAAACUGGGAAACUUGAGUGCAGAAGAGGACAGUGGAACUCCAUGUGUAGCGGUGAAAUGCGUAGAUAUAUGGAAGAACACCAGUGGCGAAGGCGGCUGUCUGGUCUGUAACUGACGCUGAGGCUCGAAAGUAUGGGUAGCAAACAGGAUUAGAUACCCUGGUAGUCCAUACCGUAAACGAUGAAUGCUAAGUGUUGGAGGGUUUCCGCCCUUCAGUGCUGCAGCUAACGCAUUAAGCAUUCCGCCUGGGGAGUACGGCCGCAAGGCUGAAACUCAAAGGAAUUGACGGGGGCCCGCACAAGCGGUGGAGCAUGUGGUUUAAUUCGAAGCUACGCGAAGAACCUUACCAGGUCUUGACAUACUAUGCAAAUCUAAGAGAUUAGACGUUCCCUUCGGGGACAUGGAUACAGGUGGUGCAUGGUUGUCGUCAGCUCGUGUCGUGAGAUGUUGGGUUAAGUCCCGCAACGAGCGCAACCCUUAUUAUCAGUUGCCAGCAUUAAGUUGGGCACUCUGGUGAGACUGCCGGUGACAAACCGGAGGAAGGUGGGGAUGACGUCAAAUCAUCAUGCCCCUUAUGACCUGGGCUACACACGUGCUACAAUGGAUGGUACAACGAGUUGCGAACUCGCGAGAGUAAGCUAAUCUCUUAAAGCCAUUCUCAGUUCGGAUUGUAGGCUGCAACUCGCCUACAUGAAGUCGGAAUCGCUAGUAAUCGCGGAUCAGCAUGCCGCGGUGAAUACGUUCCCGGGCCUUGUACACACCGCCCGUCACACCAUGAGAGUUUGUAACACCCAAAGUCGGUGGGGUAACCUCUUAGGAACCAGCCGCCUAAUU